This 87-nucleotide transfer RNA is filed under the name bovine gut metagenome. It matches the Rfam family "tRNA". From Rfam's summary of the family: Transfer RNA (tRNA) molecules are approximately 80 nucleotides in length. The record is from RNAcentral.
GAGAGAUGGCUGAGUUGGUUUAAGGCGCACGAUUGGAAAUCGUGUAACGGUUGAUAGCCGUUCAAGGGUUCAAAUCCCUUUCUCUCC